UUAUUCCUUGCUUCCAGUUGUGUGUUAAGUCUUGUUACUUGGUUGUUUUUUCUAUGAUUUUAUUGUUAUAUUUUCUCGUACGUGAACAAUUAACUAUCAAAAAGCCCAUAGUUUUACCUUUCUUUGUUUUGGUUUCAAGAAAACAAAAUGACAAUUGGGAGUUUCUUCUUGAAAAUGUAAAGCAUUUGCCCAAAAUUGAGGUCUAAUCUCCAGGCAUGUGAUAUGGAAGAAACAUGCUCUGUUCAAUGCUCCUCUGUUUUUAUUAUUAUUUUUUUUUAUAUAUGAGUUUUACAUUUUUUAUAUAUUAUUUUCAUCCGUUUCUUCACUUUAGAAAUCAUUUAUGUGAUUACAGAAUUGUUUGUAACUUUUUUUCAGUACUUAAUGUUGUUGAAGAUUAAUGCAGCAAAUGGAGGAACUUCUGAUACUGUUAUCCUUUCUUUUAAUGCUGUUCUGCAAAUAUUGUGAAUCAGUUGAUUGAGGCAUUUCCAUGAAAUUUUAAUUGAGCCAUGGGAUUUCAAAAAGCAUUCUGCAACUGUUGUCUUCAAUUCCAGAGUUUGGAAAUUGAUAAUGGUUCUAUCUUGUUGAAAGAAGCCAGAAAAGAGCAAUUGUGAAUUGGCCUUGCAAUUAUUAGAGAACACAAGGGAUAGCCCAAGAAUGCUCACCUCCCAGAGGUUGUAUUUGGCAUAAAAAGAAAAGAUCCUACAGUUCACUGCUUUACAGUUACAUGACAGCAAAUCUUAUCUCUUGCCUAUGGUUCUGUUUUGGAGAUUUUGAAGCCCGGAAUCCAUAAUUUUCCCCCUCUUGAACUGAUUGGCAUUUUAAGUGGCAAUAUGUUCUGUGAAUUUAUUAGCCUGCAAAGAAAUUGAAGCAUUCCCAUAUAAGCUUGUGUGAGCUUUGGAGUGUCAAAUGAGCAUUCUGCAAUGCUUGCUUCUUCAGUUUUAGACUUUGGAAAUUGAUGAUGGUUGGUUCUGUCUUUUUGAAAGAUGCCAGAGACGAGCAAUUGUGAAUUGGCCUCUCAUGUGCCACUAAGUGCUAGUUUAUUGCUAUGACUGCAUGAAAAUUAAGGGGCCAUUGCCUAUCUGGUGGACAACUGAUCACCGAACUUAUCAGCAAUCAUUUGCUAAAGGAUCUAGAAUUUCUGCUAGAGAACUUGCUGCAAAACCUCACUUCACUUCAAUGCCAUAAUAUUUGGGAUUUCCACAAGUAACAACCUUGUCUUCUGAUAUACGGCAUUGAGAAGUGGAAAAAUCGUUGGUUCUGAAAAGAGAGAGAGAGAGAGAG
RNAcentral lists this unclassified non-coding RNA (1281 nucleotides) under Hevea brasiliensis (rubber tree). The record is from RNAcentral. Lineage: Eukaryota; Viridiplantae; Streptophyta; Magnoliopsida; Malpighiales; Euphorbiaceae.